GAUGAACGCUAGCGGCAGGCUUAAUACAUGCAAGUCGAGGGGCAGCAUAAGUAGCAAUACUUGAUGGCGACCGGCAAACGGGUGCGGAACACGUACAGAACCUUCCUUCGAGCGGGGAAUAGCCCGGAGAAAUCCGGAUUAAUACCCCAUAGUAAAUUGAAAAGGCAUCUUUUAAUUUAAGAUUAUCACUUGAAGAUGGCUGUGCGCCUGAUUAGGUAGUUGGCGGGGUAACGGCCCACCAAGCCUUCGAUCAGUAACUGGUGUGAGAGCACGACCAGUCACACGGGCACUGAGACACGGGCCCGACUCCUACGGGAGGCAGCAGUAAGGAAUAUUGGUCAAUGGACGCAAGUCUGAACCAGCCAUGCCGCGUGGAGGAUGAAGGUCC
Molecule: ribosomal RNA, 388 nt
Filed under: uncultured bacterium
Lineage: Bacteria
Description: bacterial SSU rRNA
Rfam family: Bacterial small subunit ribosomal RNA
Source: RNAcentral